This is a long non-coding RNA of Crotalus tigris (Tiger rattlesnake), 1672 nucleotides long. RefSeq lists it as uncharacterized. NCBI's taxonomy places the organism in Eukaryota, Metazoa, Chordata, Lepidosauria, Squamata, Viperidae. The transcript is spliced from 5 exons. The record is from RefSeq and is a predicted model, not a curated record.
AAGCAGUUUACAGAGUAAGCAUAUUGCCCCAAACAAUCUGGAUCCUCAUUUUACUGACUUCAGAAGUAUGGAAAGCUGAAUCAAACUUGAGCCGGUGAGACUCAAACUGCUGAAUUGUGCCCACCUAAAUCCAGCUUUGCCAGAGAAUGACAAACUCAUCCUUCCACCAGUCAACAGCAGGGGUGACCAUCGGUUGAGGACCAGUGAGACAAUUCAGUGAUGUGGUUUUGUAAUUUUGGACUUAAAAAGCAACAUUCCGCACCAGAGUGCAGCCCUCGUAAAAUACGACUGACGUGUUAUCAUAUAAAUGAGGUUGCUUUGACAUGAUAGCGCUUUCAUAAAUCCAAAGGGAAGAUUUGGAGACAAGAUAUGUCAAAAGUAAAACCAGCUCUGUCUCUUAAUCUUUGACAUAAACUGUUUAUGUUUUCUGAAUUCAACAAUCAUAAUGUGAUAGGUUGGCUUUGAUGAUUUGCAGACGAAAUGGAGGAGUUCUCCAGCACCCCCCCCCCUCCUCCGAGUUCAUUUCAAAGCCUGAUGGCACCAAAAGGAGACUAAGAUUUAGUCCGAAAAAGAGCAAACUGGACAAAUGCAGCAACCAGCCUUAGGAGACAGGGAAGAUAAUGAACUGAGUUAUUCUGGCUACUUGCAUCUAACAGUUACAGAUUGCCUAAUGCUGGGAAAGAUUGAAGGCAAUAGAAGAAUGGCACAACAGAGAAUGAGGGGGCUGGAUGGAGUCACUGAAGAAGUAGAUGGGAGCUUAAAUGGACUCCAGAAGAUGGUAGAGGACAGGAAGACCAGGAGGAACAUUGUCCAUGGGGUCACGAUGGGUCGGACACGACUUCGCAACUAACAACAACAACAACAACAAAGGAUGGAAAGAUCUUAACAAGUCUGAAUGCAAGACAAUGGAGAGUGAUACUUUGAUCCUUUCAGAGAAGAAGACUUAAGAGUUUUGCUCUUAAGAGGCUGUCUUUAAAAUCCUAUAUUUCCCUGGAUGGCUCAACUGGGAUUCAGAAGAAGCAUGAAACAGGCUGAUCUUCUUUCGUCUUCUUCAUGUUAAAGACAGCUCUAUGAUUUUGGCUCAUUAAGAGAGAAAUAAUUACAAUCAAUUUAGUUUUGAAUGAGCACUUAACAAACUGUUACACAUCCAUAAAUUGAUAUACAUUUUAUCAUAAAGUGGAUAGAAAAGGAGUGAGAUUUAAAAAAUAGAUUUAAUAGAUUUGUUCAUCUUCGGAAGAUGUCAAAAAUUCAAUGGAAACAUGGCUUCAGUUUAUCCAUUGUAAAGCAAAAUCUCAUAGAAAGGGAGAGGGAAGUCCAUUAAAUCCCAAAGUCCAUCAUUUGUGAUCAAUUACAGGUUUGCAUAAUGAUGCCAUAAAAAUGUUAUAUCAUUGCCCAAAUGACAUACUAUUUUAUCAGGACAGUGAUCAGGCAAUUGUUUCUUUUGGAUCCAAAGACAAUAACACACCAGUAAAUUAAACUAUUCUAAGUUUUCUUAUUAACUCAAGGACACAGAUUUAAAAGGAUAACAUAACAAGCACCCAUACCAACCAAGAAAAUUGGGGUCUUGGUUUAUUAGAGGGGAUUUUGUAUUAUUAAUUAGAGGGUUAAAGGGAGAAGUUGAGAUAAGGGGAAUUCUGGUCAUUAGAUUUAAAAUAUUUGGAAAUUAGUUGAA